ACCUGUAAGGGAGAGGAGAAUAGAAAUGGAGGAGAGGCUACUUGAAAUGGAGGAGAGAGGAUUGAUGGAGAGACUUGAAUGGCAGAAGGAGAGAAUAACAAUGGAAAGGGAAAUUGAAAUGUUAAGAAGAAGAUUGAGGACCCAGAAGAGACCAGAGUCUCCUGAACCUGAACCAACCUGAACCUGAACCUGAACCCAGCUGUGUGUCCUUUAAGAGCGACCGGUCACAGGAACGCUUUAUUAACUUUAAAGGAGAACAACCCUCUGCUGAAAAGAGGAUCCAUCAAAGACCAGACUCUGCUGGACCUGAACCCAGCUGUGUGUCCUUCAAGAGUGACCGGUCACAUGAUCACUUUAUUAACUUUAAAGGUCAACAACCCUCUGCUGAAAAGAGAGUGGACCAGGAGAUCUCAGAGGUUCCCAGUGCUCAGUCUGCCCAGCAGCAUCAAACACACCUGGACUCCAUAUUUAUGCUGCUGGAGGAGAACAUCUGCACU
This is a long non-coding RNA of Perca fluviatilis (European perch), 497 nucleotides long. RefSeq lists it as uncharacterized. The transcript is spliced from 5 exons. Lineage: Eukaryota; Metazoa; Chordata; Actinopteri; Perciformes; Percidae. The record is from RefSeq and is a predicted model, not a curated record.